AUUGAACGCUGGCGGCAUGCCUUACACAUGCAAGUCGAACGGCAGCACGGGAGCAAUCCUGGUGGCGAGUGGCGAACGGGUGAGUAAUAUAUCGGAACGUGCCCGGUCGUGGGGGAUAACGUAGAGAAAUUUACGCUAAUACCGCAUACGAUCUAAGGAUGAAAGCGGGGGAUUCGCAAGAACCUCGCGCGAUUGGAGCGGCUGAUAUCAGAUUAGGUUGUUGGUGAGGUAAAAGCUCACCAAGCCGACGAUCUGUAGCUGGUUUGAGAGGACGACCAGCCACACUGGGACUGAGACACGGCCCAGACUCCUACGGGAGGCAGCAGUGGGGAAUUUUGGACAAUGGGCGCAAGCCUGAUCCAGCAAUGCCGCGUGCAGGAUGAAGGCC
This 388-nucleotide ribosomal RNA is filed under the name uncultured bacterium. RNAcentral's name for it is "bacterial SSU rRNA". It matches the Rfam family "Bacterial small subunit ribosomal RNA", at positions 30 to 416 of the family's 1533-position model. The record is from RNAcentral.